Molecule: ribosomal RNA, 250 nt
Filed under: uncultured bacterium
Lineage: Bacteria
Description: partial 16S ribosomal RNA
Rfam family: Bacterial small subunit ribosomal RNA
Source: RNAcentral
CGGAGGAGCGAGCGUUGUUCGGAAUUACUGGGCGUAAGCGUAUGUAGGCGGUUUGUAAGACAGAUGUGAAAUCCCAGAGCUUAACUUUGGAACUGCAUUUGUGACUGCAAGACUUGAGGAUCGGAGAGGUUGGCGGAAUUCCUAGUGUAGAGGUGAAAUUCGCAGAUAUUAGGAGGAACACCGAUGGCGUAAGCAGCCAACUGGACGAUUACUGACGCUGAGAUACGAAAGCGUGGGAGCAAACAGGAUU